This 251-nucleotide ribosomal RNA is filed under the name uncultured bacterium. Its description in RNAcentral is "partial 16S ribosomal RNA". It matches the Rfam family "Bacterial small subunit ribosomal RNA", at positions 15 to 257 of the family's 1533-position model. The record is from RNAcentral.
GAUCCUGGCUCGGGAUGAACGCUAGCUACAGUCUUAACACAUGCAAGUCGAGGGGCAGCGGGAUUGAAGCUUGCUUCAAUUGCCGGCGACCGGCGCACGGGUGAGUAACGUGUAUCCAACCUUCCGUACACUCAGGGAUAGCCUUUCGAAAGAAAGAUUAAUACCUGAUGGUAUCUUAAGCACACAUGUAAUUAAGAUUAAAAAUUUAUCGGUGUACGAUGGGGAUGCGUUCCAUUAGGUAGUAGGCGGGG